AGCAGGCUUUGGGCUAGGUGAAAAUCCACUUUGCCAACUUCAAUGUUUUACUAAGUGUUGGCUCUGCUAAAAAAGCCUCAUGCAACUGAACAUUCUAUUAUAGAAAAUGACGAAUCUGUGUUUGAUGCCAGAGUUGUCACAUUCUUCCAAGAGUGCAGACUUUUAUGGGCCCCUGGAGCUUCUGCCGGGGACUAUUUCUGAGGACGGGAACAUUGUGCCUUGUUGGCAAGGCUUGUUAAACCAAGGCCAUUUGUGGUCGUUGAAGAAUCUGGAUCUGCCUUUGCAACGGUGGCAGCGAGAUUGUGGUGAGGCUCUGGAUACGCUUUAUCCCACCUCAGUUUCUCUGGUGAGGCCCUUUGCCAUGUAAACUGGUUGUGGUCAAAUGGAAAUAUUUGAAGGGUUGCCACGUGGAAGAGGGAUUUAGGCCUAUUCUGCAUGGUCCCAGAGGAUAGAACUCAGAUGAAGAAGAUGGUAACUGCUGCGGAGAGAUGGAUUUGGACGCUACAUAAAGAUCAACUAUAAGAAUCCCGCACCCCCACCCGAGGAACAUGAAGCCCGCAGAGAUUCCUCCUUCUAUUCUACAGCUGAGAAAUGUCUUUGCGUUUCACGGAUGAGGAAGCAGCAGGAUCUAGGAGAAAGCAAUGAACUGGGAAUCAGGAAACCUGUGCCACCACUGACGUGCUGUGUGCUCUCCGAGCACUUAACUUUUCUGAGUCUCAGUUUCCUCACAAGGAUGACCAUGGGAGCCCAGGCUUGAUUGGAGGAUCCGAUGAGAUCAUGGAUGUGAAGCACUUUGUAACAUUAGACAAAUAGGAGGUGCUAAUAUGAUGAUGCCUGCUUUAAGUGCUUUUUCUGAAGCGAAUCAAGGUCAUUAUUCUCUGUUUCGAGAUGCUGAAAUCAAGGCAGAGAGAUGUGAAGGGACAUGGAUCCCGCUUCAUAGUGCCUGGACCAAGAGGUCUCCCUACAUUGGGAGGACUUCAGUGGCUGCCCAUGGCCUGGUACUUCCUCUCCUUCUGAGAAUGGCACCAUUACAUAACUGUCUGGGGCGGUGCCCCAGACCACAGAGAUUUUCCUUCUGCCCAGCUGCAUGAGGUACACCUAUUUUGGGAUGGAAUCAGGAAGAUGGCCACUUUCACACCAACUGGGGUGCCCUAGCACCUACCUCUCUUCUUCCCACACUCCCACUGCCCACCCUCCACUCCCCACCCCCUGCUGUUGGUAUGGGCUCUGCUCUAGGGCAAAGGGCUCAUCCUCUUAUGCUCCCUCAGAUCAGGGAAGUAUCUCUGGCCUCUCUCUGGUUCUCUGUCCCUAAAGAAUCUCCCAGCUGUCAUCUACCCUUUAUAACUGUCUCCAGAGCAUUCUCUCUUCUGCUUCUCCAACACUGUGGCCUCUUCUGUGAAGUUCUCUAACCAUGGGUUUCCCCAACACCUCCCUGCCCCUUGCAAGCUCCCCCUCAUCAUCAUCUUCAUCUCAGAGAAAGAAAUGAAAAAGAAAUUCAAGUGACUCAUCGGUGCACGUAGCAGGAGGGGAGAAGCAGAGAGAGUGAGUUUGUGGGUCCAGAUGAGUAUGUCUGCAGGCCUCUUCACUGCUUCACACGAUCUGCUGAGCUUCAUGAAAGAGAAGAUAUAAAAAUCUGAGCGGUGCCAUAUUGUCUCCAAAAGCAGCCGGCGUGAAAAUGAAGUGCGACUGCCACCUCCUCAUAACGCAAGGCAGCUCCUGCCUCACAUGCUCAAAUGUGGCUCAGAGGCUGGCUGGGCAGCCUCAGGAAAGAUGCCUAUCGAUCAGCCACUGAACCUCAGCCACCCACCUGGCCUGGGGCUCCCCCAGGCCUCAAGGCUGCCCUCUCCAAGGGCUGGGGCUCCACUCUUUGUCAGGCCCCCUGGAUCACAGCAGUGUCUGCUGGGGGCACUAAGCAGGGAGCCAGCAAGGGGUGCCUUCUCUGGAGGCACAGUCCACCAGCAGCCCUGGGCUUGGCAAGUCCUGAAUUCUAUGCUCUUUGGCUGGCUGGAGGGCUGCUAGACCAGGAUUCAUACUGAGCUGAGUGCGCACGAUGAGGGGGAGUCAGAGUAGGUGGGCCUGGCACCUCCAUCAACCAGAGAGGCUCUGCUUUAAUCCACUUUACAUACUGGGCAUCUGCCUGAGAUUUCAUUGGGAGAAACAAAACAAAAACCAGAGUCCAGUGCAAUUACAAACAAAAAGAGCAAACAAUCUUGGAAGCCCCCAUCCAUCUAACCCCGUGUUUCUCGAACUUGAGCAUGGCUCAGAUCUCCUGGAGGGCUAGAUAAAACACAGAUGGCUGGGCCCCUCCCCAGAGUUGCUGAGUCAGUAUGUCCGGGUGGGGCUGAUAUUCUGUAUUUCUAACAAGCUCCCAGGGGUCCCCAGUGUUGUUGUUCUGGGGAUACACUGUAAGAACCACUGAUCCAGCCCAAAUUUUCCCUUCAAAGCCAGGAGAGGAGACUCCUUCAAGGUACCUUGGCAAGUUAGAGACAAGAUAGAAUAGAGGCCCACUCUCUGAUGGCCCCUCCUCCUACCACCCACCCAACCCCACCUGGUCCAGGGCUUGUCCAUCACACCCUGCACCUGCUCCAGCACAACAGGACCCUGGACAGAGAAGGCCACUCAGACCUGGGCUCUGGGGUGACUUUAUCCCUGGGUCAGUGAUUAAAGGGGAGCAAUUCUAACCCAGAGCCCGUGCUCAGCCAGCCUGUGUGCCCCGUAUGGGGAAGUUGCAUCAGACCCUCAGGCCAUCAGGAUGCUUGCUUCUCCAGACUUCACUUCUGCAUGGCUUUAUUUAUCAUCGAGCCUUCUACGAUCUCCUUUCUUUAUUCUUUCACCCAACACAUCCUUAUUGAGAUCUUCUAGGUGCUGGGUGCUGUCCCAGAUCCUGAGAUAAAGAGAACUCUGAGACUCAGGUCCUUCCCUGCCCUCCAGGACUUCACAAUCAGGGAGGAAAAUGAACCUGAUCAAGUCACUGCCUUGUGAAAGGAAAAGAGGAAUGGGGAG
RNAcentral lists this long non-coding RNA (3003 nucleotides) under Equus asinus (donkey). Its description in RNAcentral is "lncRNA (ENSEASG00005031148.1)". Lineage: Eukaryota; Metazoa; Chordata; Mammalia; Perissodactyla; Equidae. The record is from RNAcentral.